UACGUAGGGCGCAAGCGUUGUCCGGAAUUAUUGGGCGUAAAGAGCUCGUAGGCGGUUUGUCGCGUCUGUCGUGAAAGCUUGGGGCUUAACCCCAAGUCUGCGGUGGAUACGGGCAGACUAGAGGCAGGUAGGGGAGAACGGAAUUCCCGGUGUAGCGGUGAAAUGCGCAGAUAUCGGGAGGAACACCUGUGGCGAAGGCGGCCGACUGGGCCGACCCUGACGCUGAGGCGCGAAGGCGUGGGGAGCGAACGGG
Molecule: ribosomal RNA, 253 nt
Filed under: uncultured bacterium
Lineage: Bacteria
Description: partial 16S ribosomal RNA
Rfam family: Bacterial small subunit ribosomal RNA
Source: RNAcentral